CGCAGUCGCUAGAUUGCGUGGAGCCGUCCUUGAAAUACCACCCUUGUAGUGUUGAUGUUCUAACGUCGACCCCUUAUCGGGGUUGCGGACAGUGCCUGGUGGGUAGUUUGACUGGGGCGGUCUCCUCCCAAAGCGUAACGGAGGAGCACGAAGGUGGGCUAAUCACGGUUGGACAUCGUGAGGUUAGUGCAAUGGCAUAAGCCCGCUUGACUGCGAGAAUGACAAUUCGAGCAGGUGCGAAAGCAGGUCAUAGUGAUCCGGUGGUUCUGAAUGGAAGGGCCAUCGCUCAACGGAUAAAAGGUACUCCGGGGAUAACAGGCUGAUACCGCCCAAGAGUUCAUAUCGACGGCGGUGUUUGGCACCUCGAUGUCGGCUCAUCACAUCCUGGGGCUGAAGUCGGUCCCAAGGGUAUGGCUGUUCGCCAUUUAAAGUGGUACGCGAGCUGGGUUUAGAACGUCGUGAGACAGUUCGGUCCCUAUCUGCCGUGGGCGUUGGAGAAUUGAAAGGGGCUGCUCCUAGUACGAGAGGACCGGAGUGGACGAACCUCUGGUGUUCGGGUUGUGUCGCCAGACGCAUUGCCCGGUAGCUAAGUUCGGGAUCGAUAACCGCUGAAAGCAUCUAAGCGGGAAGCGAGCCUUGAGAUGAGUUCUCCCUGAUACUUUAAGUAUCCUAAAGGGUUGUCGUAGACUACGACGUUGAUAGGCAGGGUGUGUAAGCGUUGUGAGGCGUUGAGCUAACCUGUACUAAUUGCCCGUGAGGCUUAACCAU
This 768-nucleotide ribosomal RNA is filed under the name Vibrio alginolyticus. Its description in RNAcentral is "partial 23S ribosomal RNA". It matches the Rfam family "Bacterial large subunit ribosomal RNA", at positions 2163 to 2925 of the family's 2925-position model. The record is from RNAcentral. Lineage: Bacteria; Pseudomonadati; Pseudomonadota; Gammaproteobacteria; Vibrionales; Vibrionaceae. RNAcentral also lists the same sequence under 3 other names.